This 376-nucleotide unclassified non-coding RNA is filed under the name fungal sp. RNAcentral describes it as "partial internal transcribed spacer region". The stretch from base 1 to 46 matches the Rfam family "Eukaryotic small subunit ribosomal RNA", at positions 1786 to 1831 of the family's 1831-position model. The record is from RNAcentral. Lineage: Eukaryota; Fungi.
AAGUCGUAACAAGGUUUCCGUAGGUGAACCUGCGGAAGGAUCAUUAACACAUCCUUUUCAAAUCAAAUCAAACCUCUGCGCACAUGUUCGAAGCUUGCAAAGCGAACGUCAGCAUUUGGCAACGGCGAGAAGCAACUCCAUCGUGGGAAGCUAGGCCUGCUGGCUAUGGAUCUUAGAAUCCAAGUUCGACUCUUCAAGCUAUUACAGCCUCUUGCCGUGGCUGGCCAUUUAAUUACCAACCCUUUUUUUAACUUUGAACUACGUACUGAUUUUGAUUCUUUCGGAUCGAGAGGAGCAAUCCUUUCUCUGAUUGGGUCGCAUUGGAUAAUCGAAUCCAAUUCAAACACAACUCUUAACAGCGGAUAUCUCGGUUCUC